UACGUAGGGUGCAAGCGUUAAUCGGAAUUAUUGGGCGUAAAGCGUGCGCAGGCGGUUUUGCAAGACAGAUGUGAAAUCCCCGGGCUCAACCUGGGAACUGCAUUUGUGACUGCAUGGCUGGAGUGCGGCAGAGGGGGAUGGAAUUCCGCGUGUAGCAGUGAAAUGCGUAGAUAUGCGGAGGAACACCGAUGGCGAAGGCAAUCCCCUGGGCCUGCACUGACGCUCAUGCACGAAAGCGUGGGGAGCAAACAGG
This 253-nucleotide ribosomal RNA is filed under the name uncultured bacterium. RNAcentral describes it as "partial 16S ribosomal RNA". It matches the Rfam family "Bacterial small subunit ribosomal RNA", at positions 524 to 776 of the family's 1533-position model. The record is from RNAcentral.